AUUGAACGCUGGCGGCAGGCCUAACACAUGCAAGUCGAGCGGAUGAAGGGAGCUUGCUCCUGGAUUCAGCGGCGGACGGGCGAGUAAUGCCUAGGAAUCUGCCUGGUAGUGGGGGAUAACGUCCGGAAACGGGCGCUAAUACCGCAUACGUCCUGAGGGAGAAAGUGGGGGAUCUUCGGACCUCACGCUAUCAGAUGAGCCUAGGUCGGAUUAGCUAGUUGGUGGGGUAAAGGCCUACCAAGGCGACGAUCCGUAACUGGUCUGAGAGGAUGAUCAGUCACACUGGAACUGAGACACGGUCCAGACUCCUACGGGGGGCAGCAGUGGGGAAUAUUGGACAAUGGGCGAAAGCCUGAUCCAGCCAUGCCGCGUGUGUGAAGAAGGUCUUCGGAUUGUAAAGCACUUUAAGUUGGGAGGAAGGGCAGUAAGUUAAUACCUUGCUGUUUUGACGUUACCAACAGAAUAAGCACCGGCUAACUUCGUG
This 484-nucleotide ribosomal RNA is filed under the name uncultured bacterium. RNAcentral's name for it is "partial 16S ribosomal RNA". It matches the Rfam family "Bacterial small subunit ribosomal RNA", at positions 30 to 507 of the family's 1533-position model. The record is from RNAcentral.